RNAcentral lists this ribosomal RNA (434 nucleotides) under uncultured bacterium. Its description in RNAcentral is "partial 16S ribosomal RNA". It matches the Rfam family "Bacterial small subunit ribosomal RNA", at positions 29 to 507 of the family's 1533-position model. The record is from RNAcentral.
AGCGAACGCUGGCGGCAGGCCUAACACAUGCAAGUCGAACGAACCUUUCGGGGUUAGUGGCGGACGGGUGAGUAACACGUGGGAACGUGCCUUUAGGUUCGGAAUAACUCAGGGAAACUUGUGCUAAUACCGAAUGUGCCCUUCGGGGGAAAGAUUUAUCGCCUUUAGAGCGGCCCGCGUCUGAUUAGCUAGUUGGUUGAGGUAAUGGCUCACCAAGGCGACGAUCAGUAGCUGGUCUGAGAGGAUGAUCAGCCACAUUGGGACUGAGACACGGCCCAAAAUCCUACGGGAGGCAGGAGUGGGGAAUCUUGCGCAAUGGGCGAAAGCAUGACGCAGCCAUGCCGCGUGAAUGAUGAAGGUCUUAGGAUUGUAAAAUUCUUUCACCGGGGACGAUAAUGACGGUACCCGGAGAAGAAGCCCCGGCUAACUUCGUG